GUUAUAUGGUCAAGUGAAGAAGCGCAUACGGUGGAUGCCUUGGCAGUCAGAGGCGAUGAAAGACGUGGUAGCCUGCGAAAAGCUUCGGGGAGUCGGCAAACAGACUUUGAUCCGGAGAUCUCUGAAUGGGGGAACCCACCUAGGAUAACCUAGGUAUCUUGUACUGAAUCCAUAGGUGCAAGAGGCGAACCAGGGGAACUGAAACAUCUAAGUACCCUGAGGAAAAGAAAUCAACCGAGAUUCCCUUAGUAGUGGCGAGCGAACGGGGAUUAGCCCUUAAGCUUCAUUGAUUUUAGCGGAACGCUCUGGAAAGUGCGGCCAUAGUGGGUGAUAGCCCCGUACGCGAAAGGAUCUUUGAAGUGAAAUCGAGUAGGACGGAGCACGAGAAACUUUGUCUGAACAUGGGGGGACCAUCCUCCAAGGCUAAAUACUACUGACUGACCGAUAGUGAACCAGUACCGUGAGGGAAAGGCGAAAAGAACCCCGGAGAGGGGAGUGAAAUAGAACCUGAAACCGUAUGCGUACAAGCAGUGGGAGCCUACUUGUUAGGUGACUGCGUACCUUUUGUAUAAUGGGUCAGCGACUUAUAUUCAGUGGCAAGCUUAACCGUAUAGGGUAGGCGUAGCGAAAGCGAGUCUUAAUAGGGCGUUUAGUCGCUGGGUAUAGACCCGAAACCGGGCGAUCUAUCCAUGAGCAGGUUGAAGGUUAGGUAACACUGACUGGAGGACCGAACCCACUCCCGUUGAAAAGGUAGGGGAUGACUUGUGGAUCGGAGUGAAAGGCUAAUCAAGCUCGGAGAUAGCUGGUUCUCCUCGAAAGCUAUUUAGGUAGCGCCUCAUGUAUCACUCUGGGGGGUAGAGCACUGUUUCGGCUAGGGGGUCAUCCCGACUUACCAAACCGAUGCAAACUCCGAAUACCCAGAAGUGCCGAGCAUGGGAGACACACGGCGGGUGCUAACGUCCGUCGUGUGAAAAGGGAAACAACCCAGACCGCCAGCUAAGGUCCCAAAGUUGUGGUUAAGUGGUAAACGAUGUGGGAAGGCUUAGACAGCUAGGAGGUUGGCUUAGAAGCAGCCAUCCUUUAAAGAAAGCGUAAUAGCUCACUAGUCGAGUCGGCCUGCGCGGAAGAUGUAACGGGGCUCAAACCACACACCGAAGCUGCGGGUGUCACGUAAGUGACGCGGUAGAGGAGCGUUCUGUAAGCCUGUGAAGGUGAGUUGAGAAGCUUGCUGGAGGUAUCAGAAGUGCGAAUGCUGACAUGAGUAACGACAAUGGGUGUGAAAAACACCCACGCCGAAAGACCAAGGGUUCCUGCGCAACGUUAAUCGACGCAGGGUUAGUCGGUUCCUAAGGCGAGGCUGAAAAGCGUAGUCGAUGGGAAACAGGUUAAUAUUCCUGUACUUCUGGUUACUGCGAUGGAGGGACGGAGAAGGCUAGGCCAGCUUGGCGUUGGUUGUCCAAGUUUAAGGUGGUAGGCUGAAAUCUUAGGUAAAUCCGGGGUUUCAAGGCCGAGAGCUGAUGACGAGUCGUCUUUUAGAUGACGAAGUGGUUGAUGCCAUGCUUCCAAGAAAAGCUUCUAAGCUUCAGGUAACCAGGAACCGUACCCCAAACCGACACAGGUGGUCGGGUAGAGAAUACCAAGGCGCUUGAGAGAACUCGGGUGAAGGAACUAGGCAAAAUGGCACCGUAACUUCGGGAGAAGGUGCGCCGGCUAGGGUGAAGGAUUUACUCCGUAAGCUCUGGCUGGUCGAAGAUACCAGGCCGCUGCGACUGUUUAUUAAAAACACAGCACUCUGCAAACACGAAAGUGGACGUAUAGGGUGUGACGCCUGCCCGGUGCCGGAAGGUUAAUUGAUGGGGUUAGCGCAAGCGAAGCUCUUGAUCGAAGCCCCGGUAAACGGCGGCCGUAACUAUAACGGUCCUAAGGUAGCGAAAUUCCUUGUCGGGUAAGUUCCGACCUGCACGAAUGGCGUAACGAUGGCGGCGCUGUCUCCACCCGAGACUCAGUGAAAUUGAAAUCGCUGUGAAGAUGCAGUGUAUCCGCGGCUAGACGGAAAGACCCCGUGAACCUUUACUGUAGCUUUGCACUGGACUUUGAGCCUGCUUGUGUAGGAUAGGUGGGAGGCUUUGAAGCGUGGACGCCAGUUCGCGUGGAGCCAUCCUUGAAAUACCACCCUGGCAUGCUUGAGGUUCUAACUCUGGUCCGUGAUCCGGAUCGAGGACAGUGUAUGGUGGGCAGUUUGACUGGGGCGGUCUCCUCCUAAAGAGUAACGGAGGAGUACGAAGGUGCGCUCAGACCGGUCGGAAAUCGGUCGCAGAGUAUAAAGGCAAAAGCGCGCUUGACUGCGAGACAGACACGUCGAGCAGGUACGAAAGUAGGUCUUAGUGAUCCGGUGGUUCUGUAUGGAAGGGCCAUCGCUCAACGGAUAAAAGGUACUCCGGGGAUAACAGGCUGAUACCGCCCAAGAGUUCAUAUCGACGGCGGUGUUUGGCACCUCGAUGUCGGCUCAUCACAUCCUGGGGCUGAAGCCGGUCCCAAGGGUAUGGCUGUUCGCCAUUUAAAGUGGUACGCGAGCUGGGUUUAGAACGUCGUGAGACAGUUCGGUCCCUAUCUGCCGUGGACGUUUGAGAUUUGAGAGGGGCUGCUCCUAGUACGAGAGGACCGGAGUGGACGAACCUCUGGUGUUCCGGUUGUCACGCCAGUGGCAUUGCCGGGUAGCUAUGUUCGGAAAAGAUAACCGCUGAAAGCAUCUAAGCGGGAAACUUGCCUCAAGAUGAGAUCUCACUGGGAACUUGAUUCCCCUGAAGGGCCGUCGAAGACUACGACGUUGAUAGGCUGGGUGUGUAAGCGUUGUGAGGCGUUGAGCUAACCAGUACUAAUUGCCCGUGAGGCUUGACCAUAUAACACCCAAACA
Molecule: ribosomal RNA, 2914 nt
Filed under: Pseudomonas aeruginosa
Lineage: Bacteria; Pseudomonadati; Pseudomonadota; Gammaproteobacteria; Pseudomonadales; Pseudomonadaceae
Description: 23S ribosomal RNA
Rfam family: Bacterial large subunit ribosomal RNA
Source: RNAcentral